This is a long non-coding RNA of Pogoniulus pusillus (Red-fronted tinkerbird), 618 nucleotides long. RefSeq lists it as uncharacterized. The record is from RefSeq and is a predicted model, not a curated record. The transcript is spliced from 2 exons. Lineage: Eukaryota; Metazoa; Chordata; Aves; Piciformes; Lybiidae.
UCCCAGCAAGGCAGCACAGGGUGGCCAGAGCUGCUUUUGCUGUAGGUGAGGUUGUGUCCCAGGCUUCUCUGGGGCUUUGUGCUCUUGUGCACCUCUGUGCUGAGGCCUGUGCUUGCUUGUCAGGGUCCAAGGUGAACAUUGCAGGCUGAGCAGCACAGCCCAGGAGCAAGCCAGGAGCACUGCAGCCCUUCAUAAAGACCUGCAAGCUGCUGCCUCGUGCCUGUGGAUGCCUUGGCCAGAAGGUGCAGCUCCAUACUGCAGCGAGCAGACCUCCAAAGAUGAACGUCCAGGACUCAGAAGGGACUCACUGCCACUGCCCAGAGACGGAGGACCUGGCCUCGAUGGCAAGCUGCAGGGAGGCAUUCCUGGCUGGAGCGUGGCAAAGAGAGUUGGCCGUGGGCAGGCACAAGGUAGCAGGCCUGGCUGUGUGCUGCUCUCCAGCAGUGCCCCUGAGUGGAAGCGGAGCUGAGCCCAGCUCUGCUGUGCCCCCGUGCAGGGAGCUGCCUGCGAGCAGAGCCAGGCCUGGCACUGGAGCUUGCAAGGUGCUUCUGCACAUCAGCCCCUGGGCUUCCAGAGCUGCACAGGGCCUGGCAGGUGCAGGCUGCCUGCAGUGCCCCU